UUACGGCCAUAUCCCGUUGAAACACCGGUUCUCGUACGAUCACCGAAGUUAAGCAAUGUCGAGCCUGAUCAGUACUUAGAUAGGUGACCGCUUGAGAAUACCAGAUACUGU
Molecule: non-coding RNA, 111 nt
Organism: Acanthosepion pharaonis
Lineage: Eukaryota; Metazoa; Mollusca; Cephalopoda; Sepiida; Sepiidae
Source: the annotation of a GenBank genome assembly